Molecule: long non-coding RNA, 340 nt
Organism: Daphnia pulex (common water flea)
Lineage: Eukaryota; Metazoa; Arthropoda; Branchiopoda; Diplostraca; Daphniidae
Exons: 3
Source: RefSeq, a predicted model, not a curated record
UUCUGAAUCUCGGAAUUUUUAUGGAGUACCCUGCAAUAGCAUGUUUGUUGUUAUGGCUGUUUUUAUUUGUGUUUAGAAGGCAACCCAGCUAAGAGAUAGAGUUUCAGUGACAUGAAGAGUGUGAAGUGAAACACCUAUCACCAUGCUACUGUAAUACAUUAUGACACUUUCCUUAGCAUCAGGAAAUUUAUCUAUACAUGAGGAGUAAGACUGUUUGUUCCUGUUAUUUCCAUUUUUACGGUUUUUUCAUCAUGAUAAUUGAAGUGUGCUUCUUAGAAAAGAGCACACAGUUUCUUUAUGGAAUCGUGUGGUCCUGGCCCGGAGAUUCUUGUGCCAAUGC